UUAAAUUGAAGAGUUUGAUCAUGGCUCAGAUUGAACGCUGGCGGCAGGCCUAACACAUGCAAGUCGAACGGUAACAGGAAGCAGCUUGCUGCUUCGCUGACGAGUGGCGGACGGGUGAGUAAUGUCUGGGAAACUGCCUGAUGGAGGGGGAUAACUACUGGAAACGGUGGCUAAUACCGCAUAACGUCGCAAAACCAAAGAGGGGGACCUUCG
Molecule: ribosomal RNA, 213 nt
Filed under: Salmonella enterica subsp. enterica serovar Typhimurium
Lineage: Bacteria; Pseudomonadati; Pseudomonadota; Gammaproteobacteria; Enterobacterales; Enterobacteriaceae
Description: partial 16S ribosomal RNA
Rfam family: Bacterial small subunit ribosomal RNA
Source: RNAcentral